Long non-coding RNA from Microtus ochrogaster (prairie vole), 501 nucleotides. RefSeq lists it as uncharacterized. Lineage: Eukaryota; Metazoa; Chordata; Mammalia; Rodentia; Cricetidae. The record is from RefSeq and is a predicted model, not a curated record.
CGAGAGACCUGGGUCUCACAUCAGGGCUGUGCUCCCGCGGCUUCCAGCAAGAGGCCUUUUUGAUGAUCUCUGCCACAUCCCCCCUGUACUAACACCUUGGCAAUUUGAACUUUGAACAGAAGUUACUCCGGAAGGAAGCCACGCCUUCCAAGACUGAUUGACAGGAAAGCUCCAUGCUGCUGCUGCAAUACUAAUCUGAAUGUGUUCCCGGGUCGUAGAAACUCAUCCCUGACUCCAGACAGAGCUCUCUCUUACUCCCUUCGAGGCAGCGGCGCUUUGGCAUUCACAUGUACCACACAUACGGCUACCUGCUGCCAGGAAGCAGUCCAGCCCGGGUCCGGCUGCUUGGCUGGUUGUGUUGGGAGCUAUGAUUGAGAUGGAGCCAACUCAUGACUGCCAAUGGCCGUGCCUCUCGCCAUGCUGUGGCUCUCUGCCUUCUGCUGCUAUUCAGAUUGCAAUCUCAAGAGUGGGGUCCUGGGUGAGCAGAGAUGAUUGGAGGAA